GUGUCAGCCGCCGCGGUAAUACGUAGGGUGCAAGCGUUAAUCGGAAUUACUGGGCGUAAAGCGUGCGCAGGCGGUUAUGCAAGACAGAUGUGAAAUCCCCGGGCUCAACCUGGGAACUGCAUUUGUGACUGCAUGACUUGAGUACGGUAGAGGGGGAUGGAAUUCCGCGUGUAGCAGUGAAAUGCGUAGAUAUGCGGAGGAACACCGAUGGCGAAGGCAAUCCCCUGGACCUGUACUGACGCUCAUGCACGAAAGCGUGGGGAGCAAACAGGAUUAGAAACCCGUGUAGUCC
This 292-nucleotide ribosomal RNA is filed under the name uncultured bacterium. Its description in RNAcentral is "partial 16S ribosomal RNA". It matches the Rfam family "Bacterial small subunit ribosomal RNA", at positions 505 to 796 of the family's 1533-position model. The record is from RNAcentral.